GGAAGAGACUCGACUUCUACAAAACGCAGGAAAUCAAGAAACCGGAGUAAACUAAACUAAAAAUGGUUCAUCCAAAAUAUUCUUGUUUUUUGGUUUCAAUCUUUCUGAGUCAGUUUGAAGGAGUGGGAGCACAGACAUAUCAUUUCUCCAGAGCUGGGGAAAAUGCCACUCUGCCCUGUCAGACGGGACUGAAUUAUGGUCCAGAAUGCUCUAGAGUCCACUGGAUUUACAACUCUGAAGACGACUCACAGUCUGUAGACAAAGUAUGGCAAGGACGUGUCCUGCACGGUCCAGGCUCCUCCAGAGUGAGUUUGGGCCCAAACUGUUCUCUGAUCAUUGACAACAUCACUGACCAGGACAAAGGGAAAUACACCUGCAGUCUGUGGGCCUCUGAUGAGAGGAACACAACAUUUAUCCUGGGAGUCCUCAGAGUAUCUGAAGUUCCUCCAGGUCCAAACCACAACGCUUCAGUCUUGACAGUCAUGUGCUCCAUAUCCAGAUACUACAAAAAGUGUCGACUUGGGAGUAUCCUCUGGUCGUAUCAUGGAGGGAACAUAAGAGCCAACAUCAAACAAAUAAACUGUGUGUCCUUCCUCACAGUGAAGCGUGGAGACAACAGAACCUUCACCUGUCAGUAUCUCAGUUCAAAGAAUAAAGUCUUUAUCUCAACUGACUACACACCAGAUCAACCGUCCACUGAAUGGACCACACCAGCUCCCAGAAAAAACUGCGACCCAUCAGAACCAACAGGCUGGAGCUGGUUCCUGGUGCUGAAGGCUCUGGGCUGGUCGACACUGAUCUCCACCACUCUGAUCAUCUCCAUCUGCACCAGAGACAAGAAAGAAACAAAGUCCUGUAGAGGAUGUGUUCCUGGUAAUGAUUAUGAAAAUUAAACAAGACCAGCCCAGUGAUUCUGUGUGACAAACCCAUAGUCUGUAUAUAGAAGUGGACUAAGGGUGCACUCCCCUAGGACUUUAGAACUGUGCUGUGCUCAUGUAGUAGAGCUAGAAGUAUAGCUAUUGCUUUAGCUGAGAAAAUAAGUCCAGCUGCAGAAAUAUCUAUUAAAUCUAUAGUAAUACUGAUAUACGUCCUUUUGUGAUGUGCACUCCUCCGUGAGUUUACGGAGAUAAUAACAGUGGAGGAGUGAGGACAGUCGGAGAUGAGGCUGCAAAACUUCUGUCACCAUCCACAGUCCUUUUGGAAGGUGCUCCGGCCAAAAGAGUCCCCGGGGAGCCAGAGCACCUUAAGAAGGUUCCGGGGCAGCCAACCAUGUUUGGAGGAGGGGAGCACAAUUUUUUAACUGGUUCUAUUGAGUAUUUUAGGGCAUUGAACACUGCUAAUUUAAAUAAAGAUAUAUAUAUUUUUGUAAUGUAUGUAAUUGGAUGUUGUUUGGGCACUGUUGGAUAGUUAGUUUUUAGAUAUUAAAUGUACAAAUUAUUGGUGCUUACCUGAUCGUUAAAGUGGGCUCACCCAAUUAGUACAGGGCCUUUAAAAGAAGCCAGCCUCACCUUGUUUAGGGAGAGAGGUGCUGUGUGAGCGCAGGUAACUGCUAUGCCUGUUUUAACCUUUUUGGAAUUUUUGUAAAUAGUUUUUGUUGUGUCUUUAAUAAAUGCACUGGGAUCUGCACUGUAAACUGGCUCAACUUGACUCUGUUCCUCCUAAAACCGCUAAGGUUGCCACCAGGCUAUUACAAAGUAGUUCAUUGUGUCUGUAAAAUGCACCUUGCCAAUGUAUUUUAUUAUGUUUAAUUUACAAUCUUUGCCAUUUGAUUUGCAAUGUUUAUAUAUUUUUGUGUUGUUGUUUUUUUAUAUUGAACUGUUAAUAAAGUUUCUAGGGCACAGUG
RNA transcript from Boleophthalmus pectinirostris (great blue-spotted mudskipper), 1843 nucleotides. RefSeq lists it as uncharacterized. NCBI's taxonomy places the organism in Eukaryota, Metazoa, Chordata, Actinopteri, Gobiiformes, Gobiidae. The transcript has 8 exons. The record is from RefSeq and is a predicted model, not a curated record.